Molecule: ribosomal RNA, 345 nt
Filed under: Marionia levis
Lineage: Eukaryota; Metazoa; Mollusca; Gastropoda; Nudibranchia; Tritoniidae
Description: partial 16S ribosomal RNA
Rfam family: Archaeal large subunit ribosomal RNA
Source: RNAcentral
AGCCUUUAGAAGUUAUUUUAGGUUUGACCUGCCCAAUGCGUAAGUGAAUGGCCGCGGUACCCUGACCGUGCUAAGGUAGCGUAAUCAGUUGGCUUUUAAAUGGAGUCAGGUAUGAAUGGGAGAACCGGGCUCAGCUGUCUUUAGACUACUUUAUUGAAUUUACCCUUUAGGUGAAAAGGCCUAAGUGAAGAAAAGGGACGAGAAGACCCUUAGAAUUUUUUUUAAUGGGGAAGUUUUCUUUAAUGAUUUUGUUGGGGCGAUAAUUAUACAUAUUGAAACUUCAAGUUUUAUACAUGCCGAUUUUCAUAAGAAAGAAUAAAUUACCUGAGGGAUAACAGCAUAAUU